RNAcentral lists this ribosomal RNA (668 nucleotides) under Salmonella enterica subsp. enterica serovar Derby. RNAcentral describes it as "bacterial SSU rRNA". It matches the Rfam family "Bacterial small subunit ribosomal RNA", at positions 865 to 1533 of the family's 1533-position model. Lineage: Bacteria; Pseudomonadati; Pseudomonadota; Gammaproteobacteria; Enterobacterales; Enterobacteriaceae. The record is from RNAcentral. RNAcentral also lists the same sequence under 3 other names.
UAGACCGCCUGGGGAGUACGGCCGCAAGGUUAAAACUCAAAUGAAUUGACGGGGGCCCGCACAAGCGGUGGAGCAUGUGGUUUAAUUCGAUGCAACGCGAAGAACCUUACCUGGUCUUGACAUCCACAGAACUUUCCAGAGAUGGACUGGUGCCUUCGGGAACUGUGAGACAGGUGCUGCAUGGCUGUCGUCAGCUCGUGUUGUGAAAUGUUGGGUUAAGUCCCGCAACGAGCGCAACCCUUAUCCUUUGUUGCCAGCGAUUAGGUCGGGAACUCAAAGGAGACUGCCAGUGAUAAACUGGAGGAAGGUGGGGAUGACGUCAAGUCAUCAUGGCCCUUACGACCAGGGCUACACACGUGCUACAAUGGCGCAUACAAAGAGAAGCGACCUCGCGAGAGCAAGCGGACCUCAUAAAGUGCGUCGUAGUCCGGAUUGGAGUCUGCAACUCGACUCCAUGAAGUCGGAAUCGCUAGUAAUCGUGGAUCAGAAUGCCACGGUGAAUACGUUCCCGGGCCUUGUACACACCGCCCGUCACACCAUGGGAGUGGGUUGCAAAAGAAGUAGGUAGCUUAACCUUCGGGAGGGCGCUUACCACUUUGUGAUUCAUGACUGGGGUGAAGUCGUAACAAGGUAACCGUAGGGGAACCUGCGGUUGGAUCACCUCCUUA